CAGUCGUACUAACGGGGAAUCAACCUUUUGAGGGUGGACUUGUGGGAUUCAGAGAGCCUUUGUUUUUCACAACCUGCUUUUUUUGGGUGCAAUUUCUCGUAUUGUAGGUCAGCAUCGGUUUCGACCGUUAUAAAAUGGCUGGAGGAAUGUAGCUUCGAUCUCGUAUUGAAGUGUUAUAGCCUUUGGUAGAUGUAACGGAUGGGAUCGAGGAUUGCAAUGAAUACCCUUUAUGGGCUAUCCGUCUGGCCUCUGACAUGUCACUCUGGUGCUGAAAGCUUGCUUAUGGUAUUAUAGUGUACGGUCAAAAGGUUAGAACGGAUUGAA
This 324-nucleotide ribosomal RNA is filed under the name uncultured Glomeromycotina. RNAcentral describes it as "eukaryotic LSU rRNA". The record is from RNAcentral. Lineage: Eukaryota; Fungi; Glomeromycota.